Molecule: long non-coding RNA, 196 nt
Organism: Perognathus longimembris pacificus (Pacific pocket mouse)
Lineage: Eukaryota; Metazoa; Chordata; Mammalia; Rodentia; Heteromyidae
Exons: 4
Source: RefSeq, a predicted model, not a curated record
UGGUCUUCCGAUCUCGGGCUUUCAGCAGUGAUAAAAAUUAAGCUAUGAAUGAAAGUUCGAGUAAGUUAUACUGACAUAGGGUUGGUAAACUUUGUGCCAGCCACCGCGGUCAUACGAAUGGCCCAAGUAAAUAAAGUUCGGCAUAAAGAGUGUUGAAUUAAAUAUUCAGUAAAAUUAAAGUACAGCUAAACUGUAC